ACCUGACUGCUAUCGGAUUGAUACUAAGCCAUGCGAGUCAUUGUAGCAAUACAAGGCAUACGGCUCAGUAACGCGUAGUCAACCUAACCUAUGGACGGGAAUAACCUCGGGAAACUGAGAAUAAUGCCCGAUAGAACACUAUACCUGGAAUGGUUUGUGUUCCAAAUGAUUUAUCGCCAUAGGAUGGGACUGCGGCCUAUCAGUUUGUUGGUGAGGUAAUGGCCCACCAAGACUAUUACAGGUACGGGCUCUGAGAGGAGUAGCCCGGAGAUGGGUACUGAGACACGGACCCAGGCCCUAUGGGGCGCAGCAGGCGAGAAAACUUUGCAAUGUGCGAAAGCACGACAAGGUUAAUCCGAGUGAUUUGUGCUAAACGAAUCUUUUGUUAGUCCUAGAAACACUAACGAAUAAGGGGUGGGCAAGUUCUGGUGUCAGCCGCCGCGGUAAAACCAGCACCUCAAGUGGUCAGGAUGAUUAUUGGGCCUAAAGCAUCCGUAGCCGGCUCUGUAAGUUUUCGGUUAAAUCUGUACGCUUAACGUACAGGCUGCCGGGAAUACUGCAGAGCUAGGGAGUGGGAGAGGUAGACGGUACUCGGUAGGAAGUGGUAAAAUGCUUUGAUCUAUCGAUGACCACCUGUGGCGAAGGCGGUCUACCAGAACACGUCCGACGGUGAGGGAUGAAAGCUGGGGGAGCAAACCGGAUUAGAUACCCGGGUAGUCCCAGCUGUAAACUAUGCAAACUCAGUGAUGCAUUGGCUUGUGGCCAAUGCAGUGCUGCAGGGAAGCCGUUAAGUUUGCCGCCUGGGAAGUACGUACGCAAGUAUGAAACUUAAAGGAAUUGGCGGGGGAGCACCACAGGGGGUGAAGCCUGCGGUUC
RNAcentral lists this ribosomal RNA (876 nucleotides) under uncultured crenarchaeote. RNAcentral describes it as "bacterial SSU rRNA". It matches the Rfam family "Archaeal small subunit ribosomal RNA", at positions 21 to 903 of the family's 1478-position model. Lineage: Archaea; Thermoproteati; Thermoproteota. The record is from RNAcentral.